Molecule: long non-coding RNA, 577 nt
Organism: Piliocolobus tephrosceles (Ugandan red Colobus)
Lineage: Eukaryota; Metazoa; Chordata; Mammalia; Primates; Cercopithecidae
Exons: 4
Source: RefSeq, a predicted model, not a curated record
UUCUCAGUAAAAUACCUGACACACUGCAGAUUAAUGGCAGAGGACUGGACUGGGUAAUGCAAGUCACAUAAGACACAUAAGGCCAUAAUUCUUCAUCCACCAGUCAAGCUUCAGGUGAAGCAAACUUGAAGAAAUGUCACAACCAACUUCAUACCCAAAUGGAUCCAUCACGGGAAAAAUUCCUGUCCCACGGCUAUGGGUUGUCAGUUCCCAUCUAUCCAGCCACUGUGAUGGGCUCUCUGUGGAGUGGAUGAUCAGGCUCUGGGCAGAACCCGAAGAGACUUAGCUCACAGCAGCCAAGAAACCAACCAGCAAGCAUGUGAUCAGUCCUGUGUGCAAAUGGCUCUGAAGACACAGAGGAGAUGAGGGACGCUCUGUGACAGUGCAGCUGUGCGACUACUCUGUUCAAUUCUGAGUCACAAGGACGACGACUGUAACAAAAUGAUAUUUUCAAAUGGCCAAAAUGAGCAUAUGGGUAAACAAAACAGAAAAGUCAACAGAUUGUUCAAGUACAGUACAGUUUACACAAAUUGAUUUUUAUGUAAACAAACUAAAAAUACAAAAACUUGCUCUUGAU